UGGAUCACCUCCUAACAGGGAGACAACAAAAUGUUUAAUAUUAAUUUUGUCACCUUAGGUCGAUCGGUAUCUCACAUUCUUAAUUUAUUAAGGAUUUUAUUUCCUAAGUUUUUUCUAGGUCACACCCAUUACUUUUCCUGGGCCAUUAGCUCAGGUGGUUAGAGCGCACCCCUGAUAAGGGUGAGGUCCCUGGUUCAAGUCCAGGAUGGCCCAUAUCUCUAUGUUGGGGGUAUAGCUCAGCUGGUAGAGCGCCUGCUUUGCAAGCAGGAUGUCAGCGGUUCGAGUCCGCUUACCUCCACUGAUUACCACCUCUUCCAUGAUUCAUAGAAGGGAAUUGUUUUGAGUUGUGAUCACAUCUGAACGAAUCUAGCUUCCUAAUUUAUUUAAUUAAGAUGCUGGACUCAUUGAAUUAAUUUCAUUGUUUUCAGAGAACCUUGACAACUGCAUAGAUUAUUUUUUAAAGACAAUAAGCAUCUUUAAAUGAUGCAGAUUUUUUAUUUGUGCGAAUGCAUUAAUAACAAUUCUAUUAAGCUGAUGCUUCAAUUUUUGAAGUUAUUGGUCAAGCUACAAAGGGCUCACGGAGGAUACCUAGGCACACAGAGGCGAUGAAGG
RNAcentral lists this transfer RNA (612 nucleotides) under uncultured Prochlorococcus sp. RNAcentral's name for it is "partial contains 16S ribosomal RNA, 16S-23S ribosomal RNA intergenic spacer, and 23S ribosomal RNA". The stretch from base 226 to 298 matches the Rfam family "tRNA". The record is from RNAcentral. Lineage: Bacteria; Bacillati; Cyanobacteriota; Cyanophyceae; Synechococcales; Prochlorococcaceae.